AACGAACGCUGGCGGCAUGCCUAACACAUGCAAGUCGAACGAGACCUUCGGGUAUAGUGGCGCACGGGUGCGUAACGCAUGGGAACCUGCCCUUAGGUUCGGAAUAACUCACCGAAAGGGGUGCUAAUACCGGAUAAUGUCUUCGGACCAAAGAUUUAUCGCCUUUGGAUGGGCCCGCGUUGGAUUAGCUAGUUGGUAGGGUAAAGGCCUACCAAGGCGACGAUCCAUAGCUGGUCUGAGAGGAUGAUCAGCCACACUGGGACUGAGACACGGCCCAGACUCCUACGGGAGGCAGCAGUGGGGAAUAUUGGACAAUGGGCGAAAGCCUGAUCCAGCAAUGCCGCGUGAGUGAUGAAGGCCUUAGGGUUGUAAAGCUCUUUUACCCGGGAUGAUAAUGACAGUACCGGGAGAAUAAGCCCCGGCUAACUCCGUG
This 433-nucleotide ribosomal RNA is filed under the name uncultured bacterium. RNAcentral describes it as "partial 16S ribosomal RNA". It matches the Rfam family "Bacterial small subunit ribosomal RNA", at positions 29 to 507 of the family's 1533-position model. The record is from RNAcentral.